GAAGAGUAGGUAGUAAGAGAGAAAGAGUUAUCAGAAAGAAAGAAAAGAAGAAAUGGAAGAGUAGAGAAGAGGAAAAGAGAAGAAAGAAGAAGAGAGAAAGAAGGAAGAAAGGCUUGGAGGAGAAAAGGAAAAGCUCAUCAUCACCAUUUUCUACUCAUCAUGCUCACCAACAUCAUCUUCUUCUUCUACUAGACAUUCUCAAGGCGGAAUUGAAUGCAGUACACUCAGACAAAAUGAUUCGGCAUAUAUUCUUAAUCAAUUUAGAUGCCACUCAUCAAAACAAGGCCACCAAUAUAAUAAAGUGUUUUCAAUAGGAAACAAAGAGAGUUUGAGGCUGGAGGGGGAAGUCGGUUAUGAUGAUCUUUACGACCAAAUCUUAGAGUUCUACCGUAGUAAAUACUGCGGAAAGGUGAUGAAGUUAGUAGUUAUAGGAGGAGAGCCUAUUCAAAUUCUUCAAGGUUGGGUUGAAAGUUUUUUCAACUCUAUUAAAAAGUGUGACGUGAAAAAGUUUCGAAAAAAAGUAUAUCCAACUGGGUUUCAAUGGUACCUUUAUCCAAUUCGGGUUCGACAGUGAGUUCAGGCAAAAAAUAGAAAAAGAAGGCUUCCAAAAAAGCAUUCAAUUUGGGAAUUCGGUAUUUUAUACGGUUUAAAUGAUCCCACCGGUGAUGAUAUACUGAUAGUUUCAUGGACUUUCCCUAUU
Molecule: long non-coding RNA, 700 nt
Organism: Lathyrus oleraceus (garden pea)
Lineage: Eukaryota; Viridiplantae; Streptophyta; Magnoliopsida; Fabales; Fabaceae
Exons: 5
Source: RefSeq, a predicted model, not a curated record